RNAcentral lists this ribosomal RNA (1308 nucleotides) under Triticum aestivum (bread wheat). RNAcentral's name for it is "partial small subunit ribosomal RNA". Lineage: Eukaryota; Viridiplantae; Streptophyta; Magnoliopsida; Poales; Poaceae. The record is from RNAcentral.
AUGGAUACCGAAUGGGAGCUAAAAUUUCCUCUGGUAACCGUGCGAGCCCUAGAGCGUAUUGAGGCUUUAUCGGAUCAUGCACCCAUCAUUCUGGACUCUAAUUCUACGAAACCAGCUGCCCGACGCCCUUUCAAAUUUGAAUUGGGAUGGAUGCAUAGGGAGGGAUUUGUAGACAUGAUCAAGAAUAUUUGGGAGAGGCCCGCUGUUGGUCGUACACCUAUUCAGAGAUGGAACUUUAAAAUAAGGGCCAUGAGGCAACACCUCUCUGGAUGGGCAAAACAUACCAACGGGAUUUAUAAAAAAGAAAAACAACGGCUCUCAACCAUUAUUGAUGACCUCGACAAAAUUGCAGAGACACGCAUCUUAUCUCAACAAGAGAUUGAAUUAAAAAAUCAAUCUAAUGAGAAGAUUGCCCGUCUUCUGCGAGAAGAGGAGAUCAAAUACUACCAGAGAUCCAAAGCCGAUUUCAUUUUGAUGGGUGAUAGUAAUACAAGAUACUUCCAAUUGGUCGCUAAUGGGCGGCAUAGGAAGAAAUGUAUUUAUAGUCUCCAACAAGAUGAGGGGCGGAUCGAAGGUCAAGAGGAGCUCAAAAAGUAUAUCACCGACUACUACAAAUCUCUGUUCGGACCGCCGGCUGAAGGGAAUUUCACCCUUGAUGAGACCCGAACAGAUGACAUUCCACAAGUCACGACAGAAGAAAACAAUAUUCUGACGGCACCAUUCUCGGAAGAGGAGGUGAGAGCUGCAAUGUUCCAAAUGGAACAUAACAAAGCUCCAGGCCCAGAUGGUUUCCCCGCAGAAUUCUAUCAGAAUUUCUGGGAUAUCAUCAAGGCUGACCUUAUGGAGUUGUUCAAUUGUCUUCAUGCCGACCGACUUGAGCUAUUUAGGCUUAAUUUUGGCGAGAUUGUCUUGUUGCCAAAGAUUAAGGAGGCUGAACGGAUCCAGCAGUUUAGACCCAUAUGCCUCCUUAAUGUCAGUUUCAAGAUUUUCACCAAAGUGAACCUAAGUGGAGUAGUAUUCAAAAUUGACUUUGAAAAAGCCUAUGACAAGGUCAAAUGGUCUUUCCUCCAACAGGCCCUAAGGAUGAAAGGUUUCUCUGAAAAAUGGUGCCAUUGGAUCCAAAAUUUUGUAACUGGAGGUAGCGUGGCCAUCAAAGUCAAUGAUGAUGUAGGUCAUUACUUCCAGACAAAAAAAGGACUACGACAGGGUGACCCCAUGUCCCCAAUGUUAUUUAACAUUGUGGCUGACAUGUUGGCAAUUCUAAUUGAGCGCGCCAAGCAGGACGGGCAAAUUGCUGGGGUAGUGCCA